AGUCAGGCCCGUACGGCAGGAGAUUGUGAACCCCGCCAGGCCCGGAAGGGAGCAACGGUAACAAACCCUCCUGAGCGUUGCGGAAACCCUGACUAGC
This 97-nucleotide signal recognition particle RNA is filed under the name Candidatus Dadabacteria bacterium RIFCSPHIGHO2_12_FULL_53_21. Its description in RNAcentral is "signal recognition particle sRNA small type". It matches the Rfam family "Bacterial small signal recognition particle RNA". From Rfam's summary of the family: The signal recognition particle (SRP) is a universally conserved ribonucleoprotein involved in the co-translational targeting of proteins to membranes. Archaeal SRP consists of a 7S RNA and homologues of the eukaryotic SRP19 and SRP54 proteins. Lineage: Bacteria; Pseudomonadati; Thermodesulfobacteriota; Candidatus Dadabacteria. RNAcentral also lists the same sequence under 1 other name. The record is from RNAcentral.